GAGGCUGCGGUCAUGGAGGGACCCGGAGCUGGAUCCGGCUUCCGGAAGGUGAGGGCCGGCGGGCAGGGGCUAGGCAGGCGCGGACGCUCCGUCCCGACCUCACGCGUGACACCGUGAGGGCCAGACGCCAGCCCCCGCGCCGCCCCCUGUGCCUUUGAGGUUGGGCCCGUUCUCAGACUCCAUCUCCGGCCGGGCCGCGCGCCCCGCACCCUCCUGGGCUGGUGUCUCGCAGCUGGAGCUGGUGAGCAGGCUGCUGCACCUGCACUUCAAGGAUGACAAGACCAAAGAAGCAGCAGUCCGCGGGGUGCGGCAGGCCCAGGCAGAAGACGCGCUCCGUGUGGACGUGGACCAGCUGGAGAAGGUGCUUCCGCAGCUGGUGCGUGAGCAUGGGUCGGGGCGCAAGUGGGGGUGCCCGGCUGGCUGGCCCUAAGUGCUUCUCUCCCCCACAGCUCCUGGACUUCUAGGGAUCUCAGCCGUGGCUGAAGCCACCCCCAGAGGAGCCCCUGGUCCACAGAAGCAGGCCUUGUGUUUCCAGCGGCCUCUGAUAACAGGCAGGGAAGGACCUGAGGGAUUUGGAGUUGAUUCAAACAAGAUCUCUGGGAGUCUCCAGCCUGUGCAGAAGGGGCAGGACUGCAGCACGCUGCUGGCCUUGGAGUGUCCAGUGGGGACACUGGUGUGGGAAGGGGCAGCACCUGGGGAGUCCCUGCCUCUCCUCCCUGGGGCAAUAGUGUGCAUGCAUGCCACCUGGGGUCCUACAGGCAGGUGCUGGGAAAGGCCUGGCCAGCAGGUAGCCUGUGUGUUUGACAAACAGCGGCUGGCAGCGCUGCCU
Molecule: small RNA, 829 nt
Filed under: Pongo abelii (Sumatran orangutan)
Lineage: Eukaryota; Metazoa; Chordata; Mammalia; Primates; Hominidae
Description: processed transcript
Source: RNAcentral